UGUAACCAAAGACCAGGAAAAGGCUGAGGUACUUGUACUUUCUUUGCCUCAGCCUGUAACAGCAAGACUGGUUAUCCUCAGGGCAACAUGCUGAGCUGUUAGACAGGGUCUGGGAGCAGAACAGAACCUCUGCAAUCCAAGAGGAAGCAGCUAGUGCCCCACUGCGCCACUUGGACACUCACGAGUCUAUUAUUUUAAUCCCUUGUCCCAUAGCAGCAUCCAGAAUGGCAACAGCCAUUUCAUCCAAAGUGCUGCACUGCCAUCUGUCUCAGCUUCCAGACACUGGUAUUCAGCUGCUUUUCAUCUGAAGGGUAGACACAGCUGGAUAUCAACUCAACAGCCUCAGACAGAUCCAAGGGACUGUCAAGAAGAAAACCUGAAUUCCAAGAAUGGGAGGAAGCAUUCCAAAGAAUAAAAUACAGACUAUAACAACAACAAAGGACUGCAUUGGAGAAAAUAUUGAUGUGGCCUUCACAAAAAAGUUUUGCCUAACAGUUCUGCUGAAGAUAUCUGAAGAAGUCAACGGGCAUGUACUCUAGGAAGCUCUAGGUGGUACAGUCGGCUUGGACCCACACAAGGCAUUUGGCAGAGUCUUGAAGAAAGGACUACUAAAGAAACUUAGCUGCUUUGGAGACAGAGGUAAUCUUCACAUGAAGGUAGCUAAAGAAUAAAGGUUUAGCAAGCAA
This is a long non-coding RNA of Vidua chalybeata, 686 nucleotides long. RefSeq lists it as uncharacterized. The record is from RefSeq and is a predicted model, not a curated record. Lineage: Eukaryota; Metazoa; Chordata; Aves; Passeriformes; Viduidae. The transcript is spliced from 4 exons.